This 490-nucleotide ribosomal RNA is filed under the name uncultured bacterium. RNAcentral describes it as "partial 16S ribosomal RNA". It matches the Rfam family "Bacterial small subunit ribosomal RNA", at positions 30 to 507 of the family's 1533-position model. The record is from RNAcentral.
AUUGAACGCUGGCGGCAUGCUUUACACAUGCAAGUCGAACGGCAGCACGAAAGAGCUUGCUCUUUUGGUGGCGAGUGGCGAACGGGUGAGUAAUGCAUCGGAACGUACCGAGUAAUGGGGGAUAACUGUCCGAAAGGAUAGCUAAUACCGCAUACGCUUUGAGAAGGAAAGUGGGGGCUCUUCGGACCUCACGUUAUUCGAGCGGCCGAUGUCUGAUUAGCUAGUUGGUGGGGUAAAGGCCUACCAAGGCGACGAUCAGUGGCGGGUCUGAGAGGAUGAUCCGCCACACUGGGACUGAGACACGGCCCAGACUCCUACGGGAGGCAGCAGUGGGGAAUUUUGGACAAUGGGCGCAAGCCUGAUCCAGCCAUGCCGCGUGUCUGAAGAAGGCCUUCGGGUUGUAAAGGACUUUUGUUAGGGAAGAAAAGGAUAGUGUUAAUACCAUUAUCUGCUGACGGUACCUAAAGAAUAAGCACCGGCUAACUACGUG